Homo sapiens (human) is the source of this 1250-nucleotide long non-coding RNA. The record is from Ensembl. NCBI's taxonomy places the organism in Eukaryota, Metazoa, Chordata, Mammalia, Primates, Hominidae.
ACCCUUAUCUCCCUUCCCUGACUCUCUUUUCGGACUCAGCCCACCUGCACCCAAGUGAUUAAAAGCUUUUAUUGCUCACACAAAGCCUGUUUGGUGGUCUCCUCACAUGGACACGCAUGAAAUUUGGUGCCAUGACUCGGAUCAGGGGACCUCCCUUGGGAGAUCAAUCCCCUGUCCUCCUGUUCUUUGCUCCAUGAAAAAGAUCCACCUACGACCUCAGGUCCUCAGACCCACCAGCCCAAGGAACAUUUCACCAAUUUUAAAUCGGGUUGGAUUUUUGGGAAAGCGUUCAAUGUGAGAUGCUUAUUACAAAGCGACAAGGGCAUCCAAGUCUACGGAAGGGAGUGGGAGGAAGCAACACUGAACGGAAUUCAAGUUGUAAUGCAGGUCCCACAACAGCUCUACUGACUGUACAGGAAGCUCUGGAACUAAAAUGCCCCUGAGAUGCCAGGCCUUAUUGUGCCCUCAUUGAUCAGUCAUUGGAUGCAGCUCUCUGCAAAGAGAAGGAGCCUUGAGACACUGGAACUGAGGCAACCCUUGAAUAGGCUGACAGCUGAAGGCAUCUGUCCACAGCACUUCCAGCAGACAGGGCAACAAGUCCAUCACUGAAGAAAUACUGGAUGUGCACACAUCAUGGUUUGUACAACAGAUGGGGAAAGAGACCUGAUGAAAACCUAAAAAUAUGAUUCCCUCUGUCAUUAAUUCUCUUUUAAAGUGCUUAUAUUGGUAGUUGGCAUUGUUUAAAUUUGAAUCACAUGGACAGUCUUUAGCCAUUUCACUGGCUUUAAUUUGAGUCUCAAAGGGAGUUCUUCAGGCUUUUUUCUAAAUAUAAUAUAAUAGCAAUAUUGUUAAGAAGUUGGAAUUCUGCAUAAUUACCAUAAGAUUAAGAAGUCGUUAUGUUUAGUUUGGACAUACGGAAACUGUAAAUUGCAUUGAAGAUAACUUCAUUUAGAAUAUUUUGAUGUUUUUUUAUUAGUUAUACCCUUGGAGUCAUGCCCUUGGAGAGGAGAGCUUUUAUCAAUAUUUUAAUGGGUCAACUAUUAAAAUUGUUUCACAACUUUGAAUAAGAGUACACAAAGGUUUUAAAAAAUAAGGUCAAAUUGGAAACACGUCAGAAGAAAACCAGUGACAUAGUAUUAGAAACGGCUAUGACUAUGAAACUAAUACAUUUUUAUAGACCAAUAAUAAUUUUGUUUACAUCAUUUUAAAUUAUGAAGUAAUCAAAAUAAAGGCUUUUUAUCUUGUAUUAA